UCACGCAGAAUCUUUAAUUUGUUUUACAUCAUGCAAAAAGCUCACACAGUCCUGUUGCUGGGACACUUCAACAUCUUCAUCAGAGGCAGAAGCAUCACUGCACACUUGGAGUGAACAGCAGUCAGUUUGAAACAAGAGAUUAAGGAUAAUCAGAAACACUGCAGACAAGACCAACAUUCUAUGCAGCAGACAUGUCUGUUAACUCAUCAUCAACGUCCAACUAUCUCUACGCUUGUGCCAGUGUUGUUAGCAUGUACAUGUACUAUACCAUCACUGCAUUGAGAACCAUCCUCCUCCUCCCUCUCUCCACCUUCAUCCUCUACCUGGGUCAUCAAAGAUGGAGGCAGCAUCGUUCCUCUAAAGCAGUGACUCACUCUGACAUCUUCACCUACAAUGUUGCUGCCAUGGAUCUCAUCUGGAUCUUGGGAAGUUUCUGCAUCUUUGGUGGUCAAUACACUAAUCACUCAGCAAUGCUACUAGUUGGACUGUAUCUGUGUUCUGUUCCUUACUGUGGAGAGCUUUUUUUUCACAUGCUGACCUGUGUGGAGCGCUACCUGGCUGUGGUUCAUCCCAUCAUCUAUCGGGGGCUGAGAAAUGCUCGUGGGGUCAGAAUCAGAAACAUCUGUAUUGGAUGUGUUUGGCUGCUGUGUUUGGGAAUCUCAGGUGUUGCUAUACCUUUUCCUGACUUUACCGUCAUCCCAUCUUUGUGUCUUUUGGUUUUCUCCAUCAUAGUUAUUUCUUUCUGCAGCCUGUCGGUUCUCUGUGUUCUGAUUCGUCCAGGUCCAGGGGAAGGAGUCGGGGAAAAGCAGCAAGUUGACCAAUCAAAGCAGAGAGCUUUCUACACCGUCACAGUUAUAUCAGUAACUGUGUGGUUGUGGUUUUUCAGCCUCAUUGUUUCCCACGCUGUGAACAUGUCACCUGAACUGAACAUAAGUGUUCGCUGUGUGGUGGCAAUGAGUGCUGGUUUAUUAAACCUGCCCAGUAUUUUAGUGUCUCCUCUGCUGUAUCUGCACAGGGCAGGAAAACUGUCAUGUUGCUGUUAAAACAAUGAGUGAAGAUACAGAUUGGAUUUGAGUUAAUCAGACCUGGGUAGUUCUAGUGACUGGAUGAAAGAUGAGAAACUCUGAUAUAAGAGGAGUUGUUGGUUUAGAGCGUCAGUGUAACAAGGAUUAAGUUAGGAUAUUCUGUGUAGUUAGUGUAGUGUUUUCUUAGCUGCUCAGAUAGUUGGAUAGGUGCUGUUGCUUUUGGGUGUUAGUUGGUGAUCACAAGAUUGAUGGUUAAGCAUGGGCAAUACAAGCCUAUUAAAGACAUACUUUUAAUAGUCUUGCGAUAACUCACAAUACACGUUUUGAUUGGUCUUUUUGCAUUGCCAAAAUCCAGAACUUUCUCACUCACACUGUACAGAUCAUCCGAUUGGCCAUGUUAGUUCACCCUUGACAGUCGAGAGAAAGAGAACAAAAAGGGCAAGAGAACUGAGUCAAAAUAGAAUUCAGACCCAGAGAUUUACCAACACAAAUAUAUUUGAGAAAUCUAAAGUGUUGCCCAAUAAAUCUGAACUCAUACUUUAAUACUCUGCAGAGAUCUGACACCAGAAACUGUAAAUUAAAAGGAAAGGUGGAUGGAUAGUAGUUUAAUAUGUAAUCAUAUGCUUGGUUUGGGUUCAGCAGCCUUUGAAAGUUUUUACUGUCUGGACAACAUCUAGCUUUGGACAGUUCCAGAUGGAACACAAAAAGAUAACAUGGUGAUAUUCUCAAUAUAAAUAUGAAAACAUUAAAUCAUAUUUU
Long non-coding RNA from Amphiprion ocellaris (clown anemonefish), 1784 nucleotides. Lineage: Eukaryota; Metazoa; Chordata; Actinopteri; Pomacentridae. The record is from Ensembl.